RNAcentral lists this ribosomal RNA (132 nucleotides) under Triticum aestivum (bread wheat). RNAcentral describes it as "partial small subunit ribosomal RNA". The record is from RNAcentral. Lineage: Eukaryota; Viridiplantae; Streptophyta; Magnoliopsida; Poales; Poaceae.
AUGUAUCCAAUAGCAUGGGCACUUGUGGAUAAGGAGACCAAUGAAUCUUGGGACUGGUUUUGUAGCUUGUUGUUUAAUGAUCUGAAAGUUGGAGAUGGUGAUGGGUGGGUUAUAAUUUUUGAUCAGCAAAAA